Molecule: ribosomal RNA, 465 nt
Filed under: Vreelandella stevensii
Lineage: Bacteria; Pseudomonadati; Pseudomonadota; Gammaproteobacteria; Oceanospirillales; Halomonadaceae
Description: partial 16S ribosomal RNA
Rfam family: Bacterial small subunit ribosomal RNA
Source: RNAcentral
CCUACGGGUGGCAGCAGUGGGGAAUAUUGGACAAUGGGGGGAACCCUGAUCCAGCCAUGCCGCGUGUGUGAAGAAGGCCCUCGGGUUGUAAAGCACUUUCAGUGAGGAAGAACGCCUGGUGGUUAAUACCCAUCAGGAAAGACAUCACUCACAGAAGAAGCACCGGCUAACUCCGUGCCAGCAGCCGCGGUAAUACGGAGGGUGCGAGCGUUAAUCGGAAUUACUGGGCGUAAAGCGCGCGUAGGUGGCUUGAUAAGCCGGUUGUGAAAGCCCCGGGCUCAACCUGGGAACGGCAUCCGGAACUGUCAAGCUAGAGUGCAGGAGAGGAAGGUAGAAUUCCCGGUGUAGCGGUGAAAUGUGUAGAGCUCGGGAGGAAUACCAGUGGCGAAGGCGGCCUUCUGGACUGACACUGACACUGAGGUGCGAAAGCGUGGGUAGCAAACAGGAUUAGAUACCCCAGUAGUC